This 544-nucleotide ribosomal RNA is filed under the name uncultured bacterium. RNAcentral describes it as "partial 16S ribosomal RNA". It matches the Rfam family "Bacterial small subunit ribosomal RNA", at positions 355 to 889 of the family's 1533-position model. The record is from RNAcentral.
UGGGGAAUUUUGGACAAUGGGCGAAAGCCUGAUCCAGCAAUGCCGCGUGUGUGAAGAAGGCCUUCGGGUUGUAAAGCACUUUUGUCCGGAAAGAAAUCCUUGGCUCUAAUACAGUCGGGGGAUGACGGUACCGGAAGAAUAAGCACCGGCUAACUACGUGCCAGCAGCCGCGGUAAUACGUAGGGUGCAAGCGUUAAUCGGAAUUACUGGGCGUAAAGCGUGCGCAGGCGGUUUGCUAAGACCGAUGUGAAAUCCCCGGGCUCAACCUGGGAACUGCAUUGGUGACUGGCAGGCUAGAGUAUGGCAGAGGGGGGUAGAAUUCCACGUGUAGCAGUGAAAUGCGUAGAGAUGUGGAGGAAUACCGAUGGCGAAGGCAGCCCCCUGGGCCAAUACUGACGCUCAUGCACGAAAAGCGUGGGGAGCAAAACAGGAUUAGAUACCCUGGUAGUCCACGCCCUAAAACGAUGUCAACUAGUUGUUGGGGAUUCAUUUCCUUAGUAACGUAGCUAACGCGUGAAGUUGACUGCCUGGGGAGUACGGUCGC